UACGGAGGAUGCGAGCGUUAUCCGGAUUUAUUGGGUUUAAAGGGUGCGCAGGCGGCACGGCAAGCCGGCGGUCAAAUCGCGGGGCUCAACCCCGCCCAGCCGUCGGAACUGCCGGGCUAGAGUGGGCGAGAAGUGCGCGGAAUGCGUGGUGUAGCGGUGAAAUGCAUAGAUAUCACGCAGAACUCCAAUCGCGAAGGCAGCGCACCGGCGCCCUACUGACGCUCAGGCACGAAAGCGUGGGUAUCGAACAGG
Molecule: ribosomal RNA, 252 nt
Filed under: uncultured bacterium
Lineage: Bacteria
Description: partial 16S ribosomal RNA
Rfam family: Bacterial small subunit ribosomal RNA
Source: RNAcentral